Molecule: transfer RNA, 73 nt
Filed under: Microbacterium sp.
Lineage: Bacteria; Bacillati; Actinomycetota; Actinomycetes; Micrococcales; Microbacteriaceae
Also listed under: 26 other names
Description: tRNA-Ala
Rfam family: tRNA
About the family: Transfer RNA (tRNA) molecules are approximately 80 nucleotides in length.
Source: RNAcentral
GGGCCCAUGGCGCAGUUGGUAGCGCGCUUCGUUCGCAAUGAAGAGGUCGGGGGUUCGAAUCCCCCUGGGUCCA